This 311-nucleotide ribosomal RNA is filed under the name uncultured bacterium. RNAcentral describes it as "bacterial SSU rRNA". It matches the Rfam family "Bacterial small subunit ribosomal RNA", at positions 527 to 837 of the family's 1533-position model. The record is from RNAcentral.
GUAGGGGUCGAGCGUUGUCCGGAGUUACUGGGCGUAAAGCGCGUGCAGGUGGCUCAUUACGCCCGGCGUGAAAGCCCCCGGCUCAACCGGGGAGGGUCGUCGGGGACGGAUGGGCUUGAGGGUCGCAGGGGCUGGUGGAAUUCCCGGUGUAGUGGUGAAAUGCGUAGAGAUCGGGAGGAACACCCGUGGCGAAUGCGGCCAGCUGGGCGAGCCCUGACACUGAGACGCGAAAGCGUGGGGAGCGAACGGGAUUAGAUACCCCGGUAGUCCACGCAGUAAACGAUGCCGACUAGGCGUGGGGGGACUUGACC